GGGUGCUAACGUCCGUCGUGAAGAGGGAAACAACCCAGACCGCCAGCUAAGGUCCCAAAGUCAUGGUUAAGUGGGAAACGAUGUGGGAAGGCCCAGACAGCCAGGAUGUUGGCUUAGAAGCAGCCAUCAUUUAAAGAAAGCGUAAUAGCUCACUGGUCGAGUCGGCCUGCGCGGAAGAUGUAACGGGGCUAAACCAUGCACCGAAGCUGCGGCAGCGACACUGUGUGUUGUUGGGUAGGGGAGCGUUCUGUAAGCCUGUGAAGGUGUGCUGUGAGGCAUGCUGGAGGUAUCAGAAGUGCGAAUGCUGACAUAAGUAACGAUAAAGCGGGUGAAAAGCCCGCUCGCCGGAAGACCAAGGGUUCCUGUCCAACGUUAAUCGGGGCAGGGUGAGUCGACCCCUAAGGCGAGGCCGAAAGGCGUAGUCGAUGGGAAACAGGUUAAUAUUCCUGUACUUGGUGUUACUGCGAAGGGGGGACGGAGAAGGCUAUGUUGGCCGGGCGACGGUUGUCCCGGUUUAAGCGUGUAGGCUGGUUUUCCAGGCAAAUCCGGAAAAUCAAGGCUGAGGCGUGAUGACGAGGCACUACGGUGCUGAAGCAACAAAUGCCCUGCUUCCAGGAAAAGCCUCUAAGCAUCAGGUAACAUCAAAUCGUACCCCAAACCGACACAGGUGGUCAGGUAGAGAAUACCAAGGCGCUUGAGAGAACUCGGGUGAAGGAACUAGGCAAAAUGGUGCCGUAACUUCGGGAGAAGGCACGCUGAUAUGUAGGUGAAGUCCCUCGCGGAUGGAGCUGAAAUCAGUCGAAGAUACCAGCUGGCUGCAACUGUUUAUUAAAAACACAGCACUGUGCAAACACGAAAGUGGACGUAUACGGUGUGACGCCUGCCCGGUGCCGGAAGGUUAAUUGAUGGGGUCAGCGCAAGCGAAGCUCUUGAUCGAAGCCCCGGUAAACGGCGGCCGUAACUAUAACGGUCCUAAGGUAGCGAAAUUCCUUGUCGGGUAAGUUCCGACCUGCACGAAUGGCGUAAUGAUGGCCAGGCUGUCUCCACCCGAGACUCAGUGAAAUUGAACUCGCUGUGAAGAUGCAGUGUACCCGCGGCAAGACGGAAAGACCCCGUGAACCUUUACUAUAGCUUGACACUGAACAUUGAGCCUUGAUGUGUAGGAUAGGUGGGAGGCUUUGAAGUGUGGACGCCAGUCUGCAUGGAGCCGACCUUGAAAUACCACCCUUUAAUGUUUGAUGUUCUAACGUGGACCCGUGAUCCGGGUUGCGGACAGUGUCUGGUGGGUAGUUUGACUGGGGCGGUCUCCUCCUAAAGAGUAACGGAGGAGCACGAAGGUUGGCUAAUCCUGGUCGGACAUCAGGAGGUUAGUGCAAUGGCAUAAGCCAGCUUGACUGCGAGCGUGACGGCGCGAGCAGGUGCGAAAGCAGGUCAUAGUGAUCCGGUGGUUCUGAAUGGAAGGGCCAUCGCUCAACGGAUAAAAGGUACUCCGGGGAUAACAGGCUGAUACCGCCCAAGAGUUCAUAUCGACGGCGGUGUUUGGCACCUCGAUGUCGGCUCAUCACAUCCUGGGGCUGAAGUAGGUCCCAAGGGUAUGGCUGUUCGCCAUUUAAAGUGGUACGCGAGCUGGGUUUAGAACGUCGUGAGACAGUUCGGUCCCUAUCUGCCGUGGGCGCUGGAGAACUGAGGGGGGCUGCUCCUAGUACGAGAGGACCGGAGUGGACGCAUCACUGGUGUUCGGGUUGUCAUGCCAAUGGCACUGCCCGGUAGCUAAAUGCGGAAGAGAUAAGUGCUGAAAGCAUCUAAGCACGAAACUUGCCCCGAGAUGAGUUCUCCCUGACCCUUUAAGGGUCCUGAAGGAACGUUGAAGACGACGACGUUGAUAGGCCGGGUGUGUAAGCGCAGCGAUGCGUUGAG
Molecule: ribosomal RNA, 1917 nt
Filed under: Escherichia coli
Lineage: Bacteria; Pseudomonadati; Pseudomonadota; Gammaproteobacteria; Enterobacterales; Enterobacteriaceae
Description: partial 23S ribosomal RNA
Rfam family: Bacterial large subunit ribosomal RNA
Source: RNAcentral